Molecule: ribosomal RNA, 465 nt
Filed under: uncultured bacterium
Lineage: Bacteria
Description: bacterial SSU rRNA
Rfam family: Bacterial small subunit ribosomal RNA
Source: RNAcentral
CCUACGGGGGGCAGCAGUAGGGAAUCUUCCGCAAUGGACGAAAGUCUGACGGAGCAACGCCGCGUGAGCGAAGAAGGCCUUCGGGUCGUAAAGCUCUGUUGUUAGGGAAGAACAAGUACUGGAGUAACUGCCGGUACCGUGACGGUACCUAACCAGAAAGCCACGGCUAACUACGUGCCAGCAGCCGCGGUAAUACGUAGGGGGCAAGCGUUAUCCGGAAUCACUGGGUGUAAAGGGUGCGUAGGCGGUAGGGCAAGUCAGAUGUGAAAGCCCGGGGCUCAACCCCGGGAUUGCAUUUGAAACUGUCUUACUAGAGUGCAGGAGAGGAAAGCGGAAUUCCUAGUGUAGCGGUGAAAUGCGUAGAUAUUAGGAAGAACACCAGUGGCGAAGGCGGCUCUCUGGACUGUAACUGACGCUGAGGCACGAAAGCGUGGGGAGCGAACAGGAUUAGAUACCCGUGUAGUC